GGAAAUAUACCUUAAUGGUUAGAGCAGUGCCCUUAUACGGUACCGGUUGAAGGUUCAAGUCCUUCUAUUUCCA
This 73-nucleotide transfer RNA is filed under the name Mucilaginibacter achroorhodeus. RNAcentral's name for it is "Mucilaginibacter sp. MJ1a tRNA-Ile". It matches the Rfam family "tRNA". Rfam says of the family: Transfer RNA (tRNA) molecules are approximately 80 nucleotides in length. Their secondary structure includes four short double-helical elements and three loops (D, anti-codon, and T loops). The record is from RNAcentral. Lineage: Bacteria; Pseudomonadati; Bacteroidota; Sphingobacteriia; Sphingobacteriales; Sphingobacteriaceae.